This 468-nucleotide ribosomal RNA is filed under the name uncultured bacterium. RNAcentral describes it as "partial 16S ribosomal RNA". It matches the Rfam family "Bacterial small subunit ribosomal RNA", at positions 28 to 507 of the family's 1533-position model. The record is from RNAcentral.
GACGAACGCUGGCGGCGUGCUUAACACAUGCAAGUCGAACGGAAAGGCCCUGCUUUUGUGGGGUGCUCGAGUGGCGAACGGGUGAGUAACACGUGAGUAACCUGCCCUUGACUUUGGGAUAACUUCAGGAAACUGGGGCUAAUACCGGAUAGGAGCUCCUGCUGCAUGGUGGGGGUUGGAAAGUUUCGGCGGUUGGGGAUGGACUCGCGGCUUAUCAGCUUGUUGGUGGGGUAGUGGCUUACCAAGGCUUUGACGGGUAGCCGGCCUGAGAGGGUGGCCGGCGACAUUGGGCCUGAGAUACGGCCCAGACUCCUACGGGAGGCAGCAGUGGGGAAUAUUGCACAAUGGGCGGAAGCCUGAUGCAGCAACGCCGCGUGCGGGAUGACGGCCUUCGGGUUGUAAACCGCUUUCGCCUGUGACGAAGCGUGAGUGACGGUAAUGGGUAAAGAAGCACCGGCUAACUACGUG